AAUUUUAUGAGUCAGCUGUUUUUGUUUACGUUUUCGCAACGCUAUUUUUACGAUGGAAUGUCACCUCGUACAGAAUAUUCACGGUUGGUUGGCAUGUAUUUCAAUGAUACAUGAUGCACUAAUGUGUUUACCUUAUUUGCUUAUUUAUUUUCUUAAUGUAAUAACUUGUGUUUUAGCCGUAAUCGUCUAAAUACCAGCAGUGCCAUAGUUUAUUUACAAGAGAAGCCAUAUUUAUUUGUGUAUUGGCGGUCUGCAACACGAGAUUGCCUGUGAACAUAACAAACGUUUUGAUUGGUCGAUCCAUUGACCGGAAAAUUAUAAAUAGAAGGUUGACGAAACGAACUUUAGAUUUAAUCUCACCGCCUGCAAGAGCAGUCGGAAUUUAUGCUGUCUUGAUGUCCUUAUAAUUUAGUGUGAAGGUUUUGAAUGUUUUAAGAAAACUAAACCUUCUUACACAUGGCAAUUGUUUGUUUUGAAGAAGAAGAAGACGACCUUCGACCUACGGGAAAGUCCCGUCAGCUGUCGUUCCACUUAGUCAACUUUCUAUAAAUACGAUGAGAGAGGUUUUCUGGAAAUCUACUUUCGGUUUAGGAAAUAAGAUAUAUGAAUAUCUUUUUAUAAAUCAACCCUUUUUAAGUAUUUUAUACUUUUGGAAAUAGAAGGUUGAAAAGUUCAACCUUCUAUCAAAUCAACCUACGGAAACAAGUCAACCUAAAUGGGAAUUUGAAGUCAACCCUCCUGAUCUAUAAAUAAAGAUGAUUACGGCAAAUUGUAUAUAAAUAUGAAUGUAUGUUUUUAUGAUCAAUUGUAAAUAUUUGAUUA
RNAcentral lists this long non-coding RNA (822 nucleotides) under Mytilus galloprovincialis (Mediterranean mussel). The record is from RNAcentral. Lineage: Eukaryota; Metazoa; Mollusca; Bivalvia; Mytilida; Mytilidae.